ACUGCUUAGUUCAAGGCUGUGGUUAGGGCUGACACCCCUGGGGCGGGUGUGGGCAUCCCUGACAUCGCAGCAGUGGUUUGGUUUACACAGGCUGUUUGAUGGCAGGGGUGAACCUGGGGAACCUUCAGAGGAUUGGUUGUGUUAACCCCGGCUUCCUGGGGCUGGGGGAGCCCUCCCUCAUCUCUGCAGCGUUGGGGCGCAGAGGCUGCAGGAUCAGGAUUGGUGUGGGCGAGGAGGGAGGGGAAGGGGCCAUGCUGACAGCAGAGCUGCGCCUCCUGUCAGAGCGGCCUCAAGACCAGCCAUGAAGUAACCUGGGGACACUGAGCCAAGUUGUCCUUGUCCAUCCUGGGGUCAAGCUGAACUCCACUGCACUGACACGGAAAAGGGAAGGCAGGGCUGCUUCCCCUCAAGAGCCUUCACCUCAUGCCACCUGGAGGCCCUCUCCCGUGGGUCACCCACUCCCAAGGUGUUUCUGCUCUACUCCGUUCUGCAAAGAAACAGGAAGUGGCCGGUGCUGCACAGAGAGAGGUGCUGGCCAGGAGCCUAGAAUCUUCCCUCUGCUUUGGGAAGAAAUGUGAAGAUGGUCUGCGUUUGGAGCGAGCCCAGGGCGGAGGACGUUUGUCUGACAGCGUGGGCAGUUCAGCUCCUGCCCCAUCCUGCCAAGCAAUGGCCCAGGAACUGGCUGUCGGCAAAGGUGCUUUUGAGUGUUUAUGGGGUUGCCCUAAAGAGCUCAGUAUGCAGGGGCAGAGUGAGGCCUCUCAGCUGCUGCACCCCCCAGGGGUGGGACACAGGUGUCACGCUCGGCCACCGCCCAAGAAUGUGCAAAGGGGGUCAUCCUGAGGGAAAGAGCUGUCGCUGCGACCUGUGCGAUUUUUGUUUGGGGACAUUUUUACUGUGCACGGAGCGGCAGGAACAGCACAGUGCUCCCCCAGGUAGCUGCCCACCCUACCCGACCAGUACUCCUCUCGCUUCCUGCUGGAUUAUUUCAAACCAAAUCCAGGCACUGUACCAUUUCCCAUAAACAAGCAUACAUCUCUAAAAUAUAAGAGCUAUUUUUACCACAUGAUAAUCGUUCCCACGCUUUAAAACAGUAAGCCCUCAAAAUCCUUGUAUAUGUGUGUGUCAGUAGGACCUUGUUGUCUCUGGAUUGUUUUACUCUUUUUGCUUAGAAUUCAAAUCCAGAUAAAAUCAAUGGACUGUCUGGUUAGUUACGCGUAAAGCUGACCUGCAGGCCGCCCUCCCCCUUUCUUUGUCUUUUCCUUGCAGUUUUGCUGCUGGAGGAACUGGCUCAGCAUGUUAAAGAGUUUUCCACACUGUCUGCAUUUGGCUGAAUUCGUUUUCUCUGACCUUGCGUGUUCUGUGAACUUGUGGUGAGAUGGAGACACAGUCCGAUUUCAGUUCGAGCCUUGGGGGAGGUCCUCACGGGCCAUGUGCUCCACCACCCGCGCCUGACGUCUGCUCACUCCCUUGUGUGCGCUGUGCAGCUGCUGGUGACACCUGUGCCCCACUGGGACUUGCAAGUGGCAACAGCAGAUCACACCACUCCUUUAUGUUUGUUUAGCCAACGUGCUCUACACAGAGAAACUCCUCCUUGUCCGCUAUUUGACUGACAUUCAGAUGUACAGGAAAGUGCCUCACUGCUUGCUCCUCUUCCUCUAUUUGCUGGUACUGUGUGGUGGCACAUGUCUGCAAUCCCAGUGCCGCAGGAGGCUGAAGCAGGCAGGAAGACCACAGGCGCAAGCCCACCCUGGGCUCCUAAUGGCUUAGUGAGGCCCUGGCUUAGAAUAACAAAAAGUAAAAGAGGCCUUGGCAUGCAGCUUGGCGCAAAGGCCUUGGGCUCAGCCCCCAGCACUGCACUACAGCAGCGACAACAACACAGCAACAAUGUGUCCUCUAGGCCCAACAAAUGUGAUCAAUGAAGUUUCCACCGAUACGAUUUUAAAUGCAGCAAACUAAAUUCAGGGGUUUUUUUCUGUUUUAAAAAGUUGAUAUAUUUAACAGCUGUGUUAAUAAAUUCAACCUUUACUAUUAUAGAACACUAUAACAACUGCUUAUCUAUAACAACUUCUAAAUAAGUAUUACUUGAAUUUUACUAAAAUAUUGGUAAUCAUAUACAUUGAAGACUAGAAGUGAUGUCAGAAAUAAUUUAGUACGGGCUGGGGAUUUAGCUCAGUGAUUCCAUCACCUGCCUCGCAAGCACAAGGUCCUGAGUUUGAUCCCCAGUACCAGAAAAACAAAAAAGAAAGAAAGAAAUAAUUUAGUACAAAAGCUUAUAGGUAAAAGACAUCAAGCCCCAAAGAAGCUAGAAGACCGCUACAGAAUAUACAGGGUUACACUAUGAGAGUCCAACUACCUAGUAAAGAAUGGUCAUAACUUCUGGAUUGUUACUGUUAAAGUUUGUUUUCUUUCUGCUACAUACUGCCUGGGAUGAAAUGUUAUGAAUUUCCCCCUGAAAUUUAAUAGUGCGAUUUGCAUUAAUAGCAA
Long non-coding RNA from Heterocephalus glaber (naked mole-rat), 2484 nucleotides. The record is from Ensembl. Lineage: Eukaryota; Metazoa; Chordata; Mammalia; Rodentia; Bathyergidae.